GUAUCGAUAGCUUAAAUAAAGCGUAACAUUGAAGCUGUUAAAAUGAGUAAUUCUCUCGAAACA
This 63-nucleotide transfer RNA is filed under the name Glycera capitata. RNAcentral describes it as "tRNA-Phe". Lineage: Eukaryota; Metazoa; Annelida; Polychaeta; Phyllodocida; Glyceridae. The record is from RNAcentral.